Molecule: ribosomal RNA, 497 nt
Filed under: uncultured bacterium
Lineage: Bacteria
Description: partial 16S ribosomal RNA
Rfam family: Bacterial small subunit ribosomal RNA
Source: RNAcentral
GAUGAACGCUGGCGGCGUGCCUAAUACAUGCAAGUCGAGCGAACAGACGAGGAGCUUGCUCCUCUGACGUUAGCGGCGGACGGGUGAGUAACACGUGGAUAACCUACCUAUAAGACUGGGAUAACUUCGGGAAACCGGAGCUAAUACCGGAUAAUAUAUUGAACCGCAUGGUUCAAUAGUGAAAGACGGUUUUGCUGUCACUUAUAGAUGGAUCCGCGCUGCAUUAGCUAGUUGGUAAGGUAACGGCUUACCAAGGCAACGAUGCGUAGCCGACCUGAGAGGGUGAUCGGCCACACUGGAACUGAGACACGGUCCAGACUCCUACGGGAGGCAGCAGUAGGGAAUCUUCCGCAAUGGGCGAAAGCCUGACGGAGCAACGCCGCGUGAGUGAUGAAGGUCUUCGGAUCGUAAAACUCUGUUAUUAGAGAAGAACAAAUGUGUAAGUAACUGUGCACGUCUUGACGGUACCUAAUCAGAAAGCCACGGCUAACUACGUG